GCGGGCGUAGCUCAAUGGUAGAGCGUAAGCUUCCCAAGCUUGCUACGAGGGUUCGAUUCCCUUCGCCCGCUCCA
Molecule: transfer RNA, 74 nt
Filed under: Holosporaceae bacterium
Lineage: Bacteria; Pseudomonadati; Pseudomonadota; Alphaproteobacteria; Holosporales; Holosporaceae
Description: tRNA-Gly
Rfam family: tRNA
About the family: Transfer RNA (tRNA) molecules are approximately 80 nucleotides in length. Their secondary structure includes four short double-helical elements and three loops (D, anti-codon, and T loops).
Source: RNAcentral